Molecule: transfer RNA, 71 nt
Filed under: Flavobacteriaceae bacterium
Lineage: Bacteria; Pseudomonadati; Bacteroidota; Flavobacteriia; Flavobacteriales; Flavobacteriaceae
Description: tRNA-Thr
Rfam family: tRNA
About the family: Transfer RNA (tRNA) molecules are approximately 80 nucleotides in length.
Source: RNAcentral
GCCGAUAUAGCUCAGGGGUAGAGCGUUUCCUUGGUAAGGAAGAGGUCACGUUUUCGAUAACGUUAUCGGCU